UUUAGAAGUCAGACAUCGCAUUAUGAUGAAACAUAUAGACAUGUGCCACGAGUCCUGUUCACCUAUAGGGGUGAUUACAUUGAAUUCCAAAUCACAGUCAGCACAAUGAACAUCCAGAAGACUGUUGUACUAGAUCUUUGACUUACUGGGAUAGAGAAGAGCUCCGCUAUAUUCUUCAGAAGAGCAGCCUGGCGGGACAGGAAGUUAGUCCGAUGGAUCAAGUUUGAGCCAGCACUACUACUGAACUCCUUCCUCACCAAAGACGCUAUGGAGUCAACAAUUAUUAGCCUUAUCUUAGGGCCGAAAUUUAGCCCCAUUCACAAUGCUGAAAAGCAGGUGUUUUUCCCAAAAUGAUGCCUAAAAAUUCCCAAAUAAUGGAUGCUUUGAUGAGAAUAUGUCAUGAUGGACCAUCCAACCUCAGUGCCACUCUGGUGCAAAAAAAUUUGUGACAGUUUUUUCUCUGCCAAAGACUAGAAAUUAAAGCUUGUUUAAGCCAGGCACAUUGAUAAUAAAAUAUCAAAUUGGUUAACUUUUUGCUUGUUUUUCUUACUCAUUUGUAUGAAACAAAUUUACCAAUUUUAAUCAAAUAUUGCCAUUUUCCCCAUACUUGAAGGCCCUGGCCCUGAAUUCAAGGGGUAAAAAAAUCCCUGUAAACAUUCAAUAUAAAUCUUGAUAUUCGUAUGUGAAAAUUUUGAUUUAUAUGCAAUAAAUCUUGUUAUCUAUAUUCGAUAAAUUUUGCUUAAUAUUCAAUAAUCUUGUUUAUUUUAUUGAUCAAGAUUAUUGAAUACAAAUAAAAAUUUAUGGAAUAUUUAUUACAAGAUUAUCGAUAACCAUUUUUUUCUAAAUAAGAGACCAUGAUUUCCUUAAAUAUACCCCCCUACAUCCGCCACUGGAUAUACAUGUAUAAUUUCGAUUAUGAAUGUAAGAAAGAUAAAAAAUCAAAAUGAUGUUCUGUAUUACUUGAACAUGUGGCCAGAAUCAUCAUAAAACGUUUCAAAGUAAUAAGAAAAUGCAUGGGACGUUUCGCACCGCAAAUAGGGGCGAACCGUCUGAGUGCGAAUCGUUUCAACAGGUGGGAACACUUCCCCUGUAGCGAGAUCUUCUUGCUAAAAUGCGAUUAUCUCUCUUUAGCGAAAAAUAAACAUUACCAUAAACAGGUGUUUUCGGUGUCUUUAUUGAAAAUAUGACAAAUUCUGUGCAAUGCUGAAUAAGUAUGACACACACUCAGCAUGACACGAAUCGUUUCUAUAAAAUUCACAACACAGUCAAGAAAUUUCAUGUCAAUGUUGCUGCGUGAGAGGGAAAAAAGGCUGAAACCCAAUGCACCUCCUGAGUGUUUUUUGUUUUGAUCAAUAUAUUUGCAGUCAUUUUAGCACUUUUUUUUUCUUUUCACGUGAAACACGAAAAGAUGUACUCCGCGGGUGUUUUUCUCAGUUGUACGGGAUAUAUUUACUCUCGAUUGAAUAUCUCGCUAUAUAUAGGCCUAGUGGAAGUGUUCGCAACCUGUUCAAAGCGAAACGUCUUUCGUCGGAGUCAGUUUCGGGGCGAAUUCCCGUUACCUCAUAUUAGUAUACAGAGGUCAUAGAAACAAGUGCUAUUAGUAUACAGAGGUCAUAUUUUAUUUACGGAACAAAUGCCUAUGGUUAUGCACCCUAUGGUACUACCUUGCAGG
Long non-coding RNA from Ostrea edulis (European flat oyster), 1672 nucleotides. RefSeq lists it as uncharacterized. The transcript has 3 exons. NCBI's taxonomy places the organism in Eukaryota, Metazoa, Mollusca, Bivalvia, Ostreida, Ostreidae. The record is from RefSeq and is a predicted model, not a curated record.